Molecule: non-coding RNA, 225 nt
Organism: Pelobates cultripes (western spadefoot toad)
Lineage: Eukaryota; Metazoa; Chordata; Amphibia; Anura; Pelobatidae
Source: the annotation of a GenBank genome assembly
CUCUAGUGGCUGUGAUAUUGACAGCUGCUAGAGGCGCUUGCGUGCUUCUCACUGUGAUUAUGAAUGCUUUCCUAUGUGACCGGCUGAAUGCGCGCGCAGCUCUUGCCGCGCGUGCGCAUUCAGUCGACGGGGAGGAGAAGAGGAGGAUCAGAGGAGGAGAGCUCCCCGCCCAGCGCUGGAAAAAGGUAAGAUUUAACCCCUUUCCCCUUUCCAGAGCCGGGCGGG